CACUUAGCCAACUGAGCCACCCACAAGCCCCUAAUGCGGGUCAACUUCUGAACUCUAUUCCAUCAUGUUUUAUCUAUAUGUCUGUUCUUCUGCUAGAACUGUAACUUUAUGGUACUACAAGUUGGUGGUACAACAUGAAGGACCCACACAGAAAAGCAGUAACUACUACAAAGGGCUCGGAGACAACCACGGCCGUCGGAGCUGGGUACACGCAGGGAGGGCGUCAGGCGUAAAACGCCCCGGAACCAGACUUCCGCUGGUCUUCACGCUCGCUCUGAAAUGCUCUCCCAGCAUAUUGGCCUCACAAGUGAACAAGAAAUAAGCCACUGAGGAAUAAGGAAGGUGGAAAUGCCUCAGUGUCUCUUCCAGACACAGAUGCUUUAAAUAAUCCACACCCAGACUCUGAAGCAGUAGUCCAUUACAAGUAGACUUAACUGAUAAGGCAGGAUUGAUUACAAGAAGGGAAUUCAAUUGCAAGACUCCUGACAACACCAUAAUCUAAUACUGCUUGGAGGGAAAUCACUCUUUUUGUUUGGCAUUUUCAUUAACAGAACCACCUGACUGCAGUUUUAAAAAUUCCAUCAGGAAAUAAAAAAGCCUAUUACUGUC
Suricata suricatta (meerkat) is the source of this 609-nucleotide long non-coding RNA. RefSeq lists it as uncharacterized. The transcript is spliced from 2 exons. NCBI's taxonomy places the organism in Eukaryota, Metazoa, Chordata, Mammalia, Carnivora, Herpestidae. The record is from RefSeq and is a predicted model, not a curated record.